This 253-nucleotide ribosomal RNA is filed under the name uncultured bacterium. RNAcentral's name for it is "partial 16S ribosomal RNA". It matches the Rfam family "Bacterial small subunit ribosomal RNA", at positions 524 to 776 of the family's 1533-position model. The record is from RNAcentral.
UACGUAGGGUGCAAGCGUUAAUCGGAAUUACUGGGCGUAAAGCGUGCGCAGGCGGUCCGUUAAGACAGAUGUGAAAUCCCCGGGCUUAACCUGGGAACUGCAUUUGUGACUGCAUGGCUGGAGUGCGGCAGAGGGGGAUGGAAUUCCGCGUGUAGCAGUGAAAUGCGUAGAUAUGCGGAGGAACACCGAUGGCGAAGGCAAUCCCCUGGGCCUGCACUGACGCUCAUGCACGAAAGCGUGGGGAGCAAACAGG